RNAcentral lists this ribosomal RNA (395 nucleotides) under uncultured bacterium. RNAcentral describes it as "partial 16S ribosomal RNA". It matches the Rfam family "Bacterial small subunit ribosomal RNA", at positions 523 to 918 of the family's 1533-position model. The record is from RNAcentral.
AUACGUAGGUGACAAGCGUUAUCCGGAUUUACUGGGUGUAAAGGGCGUGUAGGAGGUUUAGCAAGUCAGAAGUGAACUUCCCGGGCUUAACUUGGGCGCUGCUUCUGAAGCUGCCUUUCUUGAGUGCGGGAGAGGAUAGUGGAAUUCCUAGUGUAGCGGUAAAAUGCGCAGAUAUUAGGAGGAACACCGGUGGCGAAGGCGGCUAUCUGGACAGUAACUGACGCUGAGGCGCGAAAGCACGGGGAGCAAACAGGAUUAGAUACCCUUGUAGUCCACGCUGUAAACGAUGUAUGCUUGGUGUUAUGCGUUUAUGCGCGUAGUGCCGUAGGAAAUGUGGUAAGCAUACCACCUGGGGAGUACGAAUGCAAGUUUGAAACUCAAAGGAAUUGGCGGGG